CCAAACUUGGUCAUUUAGAGGAAGUAAAAGUCGUAACAAGGUUUCCGUAGGUGAACCUGCGGAAGGAUCAUUAUUGAAUGUAUGCAGUUGUAGCUGGCUUUUAACUAGGCAUGUGCACGCUGCUAAAUUCUAUUUUCCACCUGUGCACUUUUUGUAGGAGUUCUCUUAGAUUGGCUUACAGGUUUCGACCUUGUAGUUGAUUUGAAAGGCUUCUAUGUCUUACAAACUAGUUAAGCAUGUUUAGAAUGUAUUUUAUUGGGACUUAAUUGACCCUUUAAAGUUAUACAACUUUCAGCAACGGAUCUCUUGGCUCUCCCAUCGAUGAAGAACGCAGC
This 335-nucleotide unclassified non-coding RNA is filed under the name uncultured fungus. Its description in RNAcentral is "partial contains small subunit ribosomal RNA, internal transcribed spacer 1, and 5.8S ribosomal RNA". The stretch from base 1 to 73 matches the Rfam family "Eukaryotic small subunit ribosomal RNA", at positions 1759 to 1831 of the family's 1831-position model. Lineage: Eukaryota; Fungi. The record is from RNAcentral.